GAGUUUGAUCCUGGCUCAGAACGAACGCUGGCGGCAGGCUUAACACAUGCAAGUCGAGCGCGUAGCAAUACGAGCGGCAGACGGGUGAGUAACGCGUGGGAAUCUACCCGGAACUACGGAAUAACAUGAAGAAAUUUAUGCUAAUACCGUAUACGCCCUUUUGGGGAAAGAUUUAUUGGUUUCGGAUGAGCCCGCGUUGGAUUAGCUUGUUGGUAGGGUAAUGGCCUACCAAGGCGACGAUCCAUAGCUGGUCUGAGAGGAUGAUCAGCCACACUGGGACUGAGACACGGCCCAGACUCCUACGGGAGGCAGCAGUGGGGAAUAUUGGACAAUGGGCGCAAGCCUGAUCCAGCCAUGCCGCGUGAGUGAUGAAGGCCUUAGGGUUGUAAAGCUCUUUCACCGGUGAAGAUAAUGACGGUAACCGGAGAAGAAGCCCCGGCUAACUUCGUGCCAGCAGCCGCGGUAAUACGAAGGGGGCUAGCGUUGUUCGGAUUUACUGGGCGUAAAGCGCACGCAGGCGGAUAUUUAAGUCAGAGGUGAAAUCCCGGGGCUCAACCCUGGAAUUGCCUUUGAUACUGGGUAUCUGGAGUACAGAAGAGGUAAGUGGAAUUCCGAGUGUAGAGGUGAAAUUCGUAGAUAUUCGGAGGAC
This 649-nucleotide ribosomal RNA is filed under the name uncultured Wolbachia sp. RNAcentral's name for it is "bacterial SSU rRNA". It matches the Rfam family "Bacterial small subunit ribosomal RNA", at positions 9 to 706 of the family's 1533-position model. Lineage: Bacteria; Pseudomonadati; Pseudomonadota; Alphaproteobacteria; Rickettsiales; Anaplasmataceae. The record is from RNAcentral.